RNAcentral lists this ribosomal RNA (407 nucleotides) under uncultured bacterium. RNAcentral's name for it is "partial 16S ribosomal RNA". It matches the Rfam family "Bacterial small subunit ribosomal RNA", at positions 30 to 526 of the family's 1533-position model. The record is from RNAcentral.
AUUGAACGCUGGCGGCAGGCCUAACACAUGCAAGUCGAGCGGAGCGGCGGACGGGUGAGUCAUGCCUAUGAAUCUGCCUGGUCGUGGGGGACAACGUCCGGAAACGGGCGCUAAUACCGCCUAAUAUCAGAUGAGCCUAGGUCGGAGUAGCUAGUUGGUGGGGUAAAGGCUUACCAAGUCGACGAUCCGUACCUGGUCUGAGAGGAUGAUCAGUCACACUGGAACGGAGACACGGUCCAGACUCCUACGGGAGGCAGCAGUGGGGAAUAUUGGGCAAUGGGCGAAAGCCUGAUCCAGCCAUGCCGCGUGUGUGAAGAAGGGCUUCGGAUUGUAAAGCUCUUUAAGUUGGGAGGCGUUACCAACAGAAUAAGCACCGGCUAACUACGUGCCAGCAGCCGCGGUAAUUC